AGGCCACACUCAACCCUGGUGCAUCCAUGUACAACUGUUUACUUCAGCUCUGAUUCAGCUCCACUGAUCUUGUCCAAGAGAAAUUGAUCAAUGUGAUGCAUUUUUAAGGCAUUAAUGAUUCAGCAUUUGCCUUUCAAGUUUCUACUAACUGAACUUGUCAGCUUGCAGUUCUGCAUCAUCAGGAGAUAUGGAUCAGAGUUUAAGUUGAUGUCAGACUUGCCUAAGAAGAAUUGCUGUCUGUCUAUCCAGG
Long non-coding RNA from Mauremys reevesii (Reeves's turtle), 250 nucleotides. RefSeq lists it as uncharacterized. NCBI's taxonomy places the organism in Eukaryota, Metazoa, Chordata, Testudines, Geoemydidae. The transcript has 3 exons. The record is from RefSeq and is a predicted model, not a curated record.